RNAcentral lists this long non-coding RNA (5038 nucleotides) under Nicotiana tabacum (common tobacco). RNAcentral's name for it is "long non-coding RNA (NTAB_LNC004969)". The record is from RNAcentral. Lineage: Eukaryota; Viridiplantae; Streptophyta; Magnoliopsida; Solanales; Solanaceae.
AAAAAAUUAAAGGAAAAGGCUUAAAGCCUUAGGAGGAACGAGAGACAAGGGCUGGAAAACAAUUGCAAAGAAUUCUACAUAACAAAAAAAUAGAUUUUUCAAGGAGCAAGAAACAGAGGCUACAAUGCUUCUCGACUACUUCAGACCUUCUUUAGGUCACGAUUGAGGUAAUUCUUUUUAUGGGAUUGUAAGCUAUAACAUCAUUAUACACUAGAAUCUAACAACCUAACGGGGUGAAUUCAUAGGAAAGUUUUACAAAACCUCAAGGACACCCAUCAAGUACGAGUUAGGUUUUUGGUGUUACAAGAUAAAUUCUUUACUUUUAUUGGAUUGAUAUAACAGGUUAGGGUUGUUAGAGAUAGUAAAGAUUUGUUAGAACAAGACCUCACCCCAAAACUUAGAAAUUUAGAAGUUGAACCUAAAGUUCUUAGAGUUGAGAAAAGAUUAAUACUUUGGAAAAGUUGGAUACUUAUUGUGACUUAUUGUUGUAGUAUUUGAUCGUUGAGUUGAUUACAAGAAUUGGAACUUACAUUAUUGCUUGAAAGGAGAAAUUGAGGUGAGUGGAUAUAACCUUUUACUAAAGUGGUUCUACUCACAAAAAUACGCCCACAAAGUGUUUGAUAAAAUAUUUUAAAGAGUCAACAUGUGCUUAAUUGAAACGUGUGAAUACAUAUUGACUAAGUAUAUUCUAGUUAAAGCUUAUAUAUUUUUCUGGAGAAGUAUAAUCGUCUAUUUUUUUAUAUUUUUAUGCUUUAUUACGUGAUCUUACAUGUUAAAGUUUCAAGAGUUAGAUAAAACUUUUAAAGAUACUUUGAGUAAUUGUAUUUCAUGCUUAUACUAUGUAUACACUCAAGAAUAUUAUUAUGAAUAUUGAAAGAUCACUUUCAAACAAGAUUUAGAUUUGAAAAGUCACAAGAAGAUGUUUUAGAAAGAAAAGAUUUUUUGGAGUAUCCUCUAUUCUGAGAAAGGGUCAUCGUCCAGGCCGAGGGUCCUAACCAAGGCGUUGACUUCUUGAAACUACAUGUGCCAAAGUAGGGAGCAUACGAGCCGAGUGUCUCGUUGGCGAGAAUUUGCCUAGCUAGGCUAAGUUAUGAUACAUGAGUGCUGAGAACCACGAAGCGAGCGGCACCUCGUGGUUUGGGCCUAUUCGAUCAGGUUGGGAUGGAACCCGUGCCGAUCACACGGUGACUAAGACAAAAAUAAGUCGGGAUAGUUGGAACUCCCGAAGUAUGAAGUGAAGUAUUUUUUUUAAGAAAGAAAAAGAAAAGAAUUUCUUUUAGAAUAUUCAUAAACUGUUGUUAUGUAAUUAUUUUAGAAUUGUUCUUAAACGCUUUAUGUUUUCCAUGCAUGUAGAAUAUUUAUUUGUAAUGUAUAUUUUAUUAAGGUUUUGUCCCCUGUCGUUGAGACUCAUUGAGGAUGGUACCGGCGUUCUCUUUUGGGAACCUGCGUUGGUCUGCGGUACAACGUAGGAACCGGUUUUGCAGGAGAGCAGGCUACAGGUUAGGACUUCCCUCACUUCCAGUGUUAUUGGUGAGCUUCGCUUUUGUUCGUGGAGUAUUCCUUUGCGUCUUCAUUAUUUAGAUAUUUCUUUGUUUACUUGGAGAACUAGCCAGAAAAUCUCAUGUCCUGAGCAGUGCAUCAGUUUAUCAGUAGAGGCUUCAUAGACACAGUCGGUGGGUUAAGAUUCAAGUGUUUUUGAUAAAAACUUUGUAGUAUUUCAGUAGUUACUACGAAUAAAGUUUUGGAGUUGGUUUAUUUUAGAUAAUAAAAUUACUUAAAAGUAUUUGAUUAAAGUAUUGCCUUGUUGCAUAUAAAGUUUGAAGUUAUAAUAGUUUUGAUAAGCGUAGAUAGUUCGCUCGGUCAAAUUUAUCGAUCGGGUAUCGGUCACGGCUUGUUCAGAAAAUGGGUUGUGACAACUGUAGACGGAAAUUUCUUUUUUAUUUUGGUCAAAAUUUUGUUGACUUAUUUUCUGAUUACAUUGGUCGGCAGCUUUAGUCGAUUUUUAAUUAAAAUUUUGAUCACGAAAUUUGUGCAUUGUCCGACUACUGUAGUUGAAAAAUUAAAAAUAUUUUUUUAAAAGUUACGACUACUGUAUCGAAAGAUUGGUCAAAAUUUUUUAUUGACUUUGUUCAGACUAUAGUGGUCGGAAAAAUUAAUUCGCGGUAUUUUGCGCCAAAUUUUAAGACUACUACGGUCGAAAUGGCAGUCGCCUACAAAUUAAAAAAAUAUAAAAAAAUUAAUUAUAAUUUUCUGACUACUGUAGUCGAAAAAUUAUGACUACUAUUCUGUAGUCGGAAAAUAGCAUUUUGAAAAAGUAUCCAAACCAUGUACUUAUCACAACAUACAUAUAAGCAAUGUGAUUGGUAAUCCAUAUUAGACAUGUAUAGCAACAUACAUAUAAAUCAUAAUGUUAUCUAGCAUUUACAAUAUGCAUAUAAUGUUGUACAUGCAUAUACAUGCACAUAUAAUCAAGGUAUAUUACAUUAUGCUCAAAAGUGUAUCCAUAUACAACCCCUUAAUAUAACUUGGUUCUUGUGUAUAUGCUCAUUACUUCACAUAUACAGUCACCCCAUAUACAUAACUUAUAUGUAACAUGAUCUGGUUUGAAAAAAUAUCUUUAACACCCGAAAUUUUUUUAAAGUAUUUAAAGGCCAUUAAUUAUACAGUUUAAUUGUUUGAUACAAUUUAGUUAUUUAAGAUAUCACGUAUAGCUUCCAAUCAUCAUACCAUAAGUUUUAAUACUUAAUUCAUACUCAUAUUCCCAUAAUAUAUCCAUACAUGUAAGUCUAAGGGUGUAGGAUUACCUUUUGGAAGAAAUCUUGCAAAACCCUCUUUUGAGUUCUUGAAGAAAUUUCUUGAAAAUCUAUGUAUUUUAUGGAGGAUUGAGUUAGUUUUAGGAUGAAAUUGAUAGAAUGAAAUACCAAAUUAGUAGGGAUUACUCACCUUGAAUAUGGGGGAAGUUGGGGGGCCUGGAGAGAGUGGAAAUGAGCUCCAAGAAUCGGCUAAGAGGAGUGGGAGAAGUGAGCUACCGAAAUGCUCUUUAUAAAGGCUUCAAGCCUAGCUUGUCCAUCCUCGUGCAUCGCGCGGACAUGGACGAACUCUUGUUAAAGUUUGCGUGUUGGGGAUAUACUUCGUUGUUUUGUUGAAAUGAAUGGGGGUCUUUUCUCGUUCAAACCCGUGCGGCGCACGAGUUCAGACGAGCCCUCAAGAUGCAUCCUUCCUAUAUUUCUUGUUUUUCAACUUACCCUCCUUCGAUACAUUGCUAUGAUGUAAAUCCCCAAUUCACUUCCAGACUUUCAUAUAAGUAUGAAAUCAUGAUUACAUGAUGUUACCCUCAUCCAUAGCCAUCUGGGGUACACAAGCGAAAAGUGGAGAUCUCGAGGCGCGAUUUAAGGCUUUAAACCCUUAGCAAGACUUUCUUUGUUCCACCUGCCUCAUUUUAGUAAUUUGAUCAUAGCUUCUUGUAGAAAUAUCCAAAUGACAAAUGGUUUAAUGCGUUUGAAACCAGACUCGAAGGUCUACACUCUAGAGGAAAUAUUCAUUGAAACUAUCUUUAUAUUAUGAGAGUUAUACCCAUUCAAAGUCAAGUGUUGUGCAAAGUUUGACAUCUAUUCCACUUAAUAUUUCCAACUCGUUCCAAACAACUUCUUUCCACUUACAAACCUCCUUAAUAUGUUCCAAAACACUUUUCAUAUGUAUUUUCAAUUCAAAAUAAUAUGGUUCUAUCCCAUAGGUCUCCUUUAGAACUCAAAAAUAUUAUUUCCAAUUAUUGUUAGUGCACUAUAAAGUCUUAAAUUAUUAGAAAUGUUUUACAGGGCCUUACAAACAUAGAGUGAAAGAAAGAAAGAAAAAUUUCUGAAACUAAUUAUGAAUUAAACAUGACAUAACAUUUGUGUAUUUAUAAGACUUUUGAAACUUAUGAUAUUAAAUAUGUCAUAACAUUUAUACAGUGACCUAGGACCAACAUCAGAAGUGGGGCUAUCAGUAAUUCAAACGGGAAAGCACAAGGUGUUCAGAUAUUCAAGAUGGUAUAUACUGAAUGUGUCCACUGCAUCUAGAUAGAGAGAAAUCAAAGAAUAUUUGAGCAGAAAACUAGAAACUGGCAGUAUGUAGUGAGGGAAAUAGCCUACGGUUGUAAUGUUAGAGAAUUAGAAGGGCCUUACAAAAGCUUCUGUUUUAGGUGAGAGGUAGCUUAGUAUGCUGAUUUCCUCUUUGGUGUAGCUAUUUGUGUUUACUGGAUAGUUGGUUGUGUCUUAGUUUAGCACUUUAGCUAUGAUUUGUAAUGUUUCAUUGGUGAUUAAUGAAAAAGGUUAAUUAUCAAAAAAAAUAUUUGUGCGGCUAUAAAAAUUUCUUAUUAAAAAUAAGAUAUAAUAGUUUUUUAGCUGGAAAGCUGGCAUAUAAGAUAUCUGUCAUUCAUGGAAUUUGGCAAUGCUCCAAGUUUGCUUUCAAUUAGCUUUUGUUUUGGUCCACCAGGGCAUCUCAUUCUUAAAUGAAGAGAAAAAUUCUGCUAAAACAUGUGAAAAAUAUUUAUGAAGGAAAAUAUUAUAUUAAGUAGUCCAUAUAGUUAAGAGAUGAAUGUAUAAAGUUAAACACAAUUGAACUUUUAUCUAAAUUCUAUAUCCUAUUAAUUUUUCAGGUAAAGUUAAAGGGAGGAUCAGUGUCUCAUGCUGAGGUCUUUGCGGAGACACGUAAGAAAAAGAAAAAGGACGGUUCAAGAGAAGGAUGAGUUGAGACACGUGCAUCAGAAACAUAUGUAAGAUCAUAUUCUUGGAUGUUUAGACUUUAUAUUUAGAUUUUAUGGUAGGUUUGGAUGUUGUGGUAUAUAUGUUUAGACUUUAUUAUAUUAAUGUCGAUGUGUAUUAGCUAUUUAGACUUGAUAUUGAAUAUUUAGACUUUAAUUAAUGUUUUGGUUUGAUAUUAUGGGAUUUAAAUAUUUGUUUGUUGAAGUUGAAUGGUUGUUUAGCUAGAAUUGGUUGUUUAGUUGGAAUCGUUAGGUUGAAUUGGUUGUUUAGUUGGAAUGGUCAUUUGGCAGGUGGUG